GCCGUAGAGCGCCUCGGAUUCGAGGCGCUCGUCACCGGCGACCCGGCCGCCAUCCUGGCGGCGGACGCCGUCGUGCUGCCCGGCGUCGGCGCCU
This 94-nucleotide transfer RNA is filed under the name Paenibacillus sp. CECT 9249. RNAcentral's name for it is "tRNA-Gly". Lineage: Bacteria; Bacillati; Bacillota; Bacilli; Caryophanales; Paenibacillaceae. The record is from RNAcentral.